This 496-nucleotide ribosomal RNA is filed under the name uncultured bacterium. RNAcentral's name for it is "partial 16S ribosomal RNA". It matches the Rfam family "Bacterial small subunit ribosomal RNA", at positions 28 to 506 of the family's 1533-position model. The record is from RNAcentral.
GAUGAACGCUGGCGGCGUGCCUAAUACAUGCAAGUCGAGCGAACAGACGAGGAGCUUGCUCCUCUGACGUUAGCGGCGGACGGGUGAGUAACACGUGGAUAACCUACCUAUAAGACUGGGAUAACUUCGGGAAACCGGAGCUAAUACCGGAUAAUAUAUUGAACCGCAUGGUUCAAUAGUGAAAGACGGUUUUGCUGUCACUUAUAGAUGGAUCCGCGCCGCAUUAGCUAGUUGGUAAGGUAACGGCUUACCAAGGCAACGAUGCGUAGCCGACCUGAGAGGGUGAUCGGCCACACUGGAACUGAGACACGGUCCAGACUCCUACGGGAGGCAGCAGUAGGGAAUCUUCCGCAAUGGGCGAAAGCCUGACGGAGCAACGCCGCGUGAGUGAUGAAGGUCUUCGGAUCGUAAAACUCUGUUAUUAGGGAAGAACAAAUGUGUAAGUAACUAUGCACGUCUUGACUGUACCUAAUCAGAAAGCCACGGCUAACUACGU